AGUCACAGACACUCAGGCGGAAAGCUCUAAGGCCCGCCCCCAACCACUUCUCGGCCCCGCCCUUCUCCUAGGCCACGCCCCCAACCCUGUCCUCCCUACUCACUCGGGGCUCCUCGCCCUCCGUAUCUGGAGUCCAGACUGGAGGUGAGAAUACAAGGAUGCACCCAAAAAAAGGGAAGUUGUGCCCUGUAAAUCAUCAUCCCCCUUUUGCAGACGGGGAAACUGAGGACUCCAGUGUGGAACUGAUCUGCGCACCAGGCCACAAUGUCUAUCCGGGUCGCUGGACCCAAUGCCCCGGAAUAUGGGAUAGACUCAGCCAGAGAGUCCAGUUUCCAGCCUGAUAAUUGACGCAGGCCAUGACAGAGCCUAAGAGAUAGUCUGACAUUUUUUAAAAAUCUGACACUAUCUUUUACCUGGCAUUAAAUAAUGCCACCUAAACAGGCGGCAGCUCAGGGUAUGGAGACUUCAGAAGGAGCCUAUCAGAGAAUGUGGAAUGUUGAUCAUUCCUGGGGCAGAGCUAAGUGCAUGAUUGAAAGGUCAGCUUGGGGGCGGGGAAGGACAAGAUGGUGGGCGGAGCUUAAGGGAGAAAGACUUUUGCUGAUUGGAAGAGCUGACGUUCCCGGGAGGCGGCAGCUUGGCUAGAA
Long non-coding RNA from Sapajus apella (tufted capuchin), 644 nucleotides. RefSeq lists it as uncharacterized. The record is from RefSeq and is a predicted model, not a curated record. Lineage: Eukaryota; Metazoa; Chordata; Mammalia; Primates; Cebidae. The transcript has 2 exons.